GGGUUGUGAGGUUAAGCGACUAAGCGUACACGGUGGAUGCCCUGGCAGUCAGAGGCGAUGAAGGACGUGCUAAUCUGCGAUAAGCGCCGGUAAGGUGAUAUGAACCGUUAUAACCGGCGAUUUCCGAAUGGGGAAACCCAGUGUGAUUCGUCACACUAUCAUUAACUGAAUCCAUAGGUUAAUGAGGCGAACCGGGGGAACUGAAACAUCUAAGUACCCCGAGGAAAAGAAAUCAACCGAGAUUCCCCCAGUAGCGGCGAGCGAACGGGGAGGAGCCCAGAGCCUGAAUCAGCAUGUGUGUUAGUGGAAGCGUCUGGAAAGGCGCGCGAUACAGGGUGACAGCCCCGUACACAAAAGCGCAUGUGCUGUGAGCUCGAUGAGUAGGGCGGGACACGUGGUAUCCUGUCUGAAUAUGGGGGGACCAUCCUCCAAGGCUAAAUACUCCUGACUGACCGAUAGUGAACCAGUACCGUGAGGGAAAGGCGAAAAGAACCCCGGCGAGGGGAGUGAAAAAGAACCUGAAACCGUGUACGUACAAGCAGUGGGAGCACCCUUCGGGGUGUGACUGCGUACCUUUUGUAUAAUGGGUCAGCGACUUAUAUUCUGUAGCAAGGUUAACCGUAUAGGGGAGCCGUAGGGAAACCGAGUCUUAAC
This 654-nucleotide ribosomal RNA is filed under the name Salmonella enterica subsp. enterica serovar Virchow. RNAcentral describes it as "partial 23S ribosomal RNA". It matches the Rfam family "Bacterial large subunit ribosomal RNA", at positions 1 to 688 of the family's 2925-position model. The record is from RNAcentral. Lineage: Bacteria; Pseudomonadati; Pseudomonadota; Gammaproteobacteria; Enterobacterales; Enterobacteriaceae.